This is a long non-coding RNA of Myiozetetes cayanensis, 3336 nucleotides long. RefSeq lists it as uncharacterized. The transcript is spliced from 3 exons. Lineage: Eukaryota; Metazoa; Chordata; Aves; Passeriformes; Tyrannidae. The record is from RefSeq and is a predicted model, not a curated record.
CCACAUUGCUUGUGAAAGCAUCUUUAUUCUUGAUCUGCAGGAAAGAUUUCCUCGUGCUGUUUUCUGUGCAGAACUGACGGGAUCGGGAUUGCUGUCUGUCAGGCGACAAGGGAACCCGCCAGCUCACGGAAGAGAUAACUGACUUCAGCAUGGACCAGCUUCACCUAGAUCUGUGAAAAAAAGCCAAGCAUCAUUGAAGGCAACAGCAUAAUGAAGCUCAAACAACAACAAAUGGGCUAAGACUCUGAACAACCACAAACAUGGAAAGACAGACAUCACUUACUACCUAGAAGUACCACCUGGAAACUGCCUGCUGUUGUGGAGCUACAAUUGUUACUAAUUGCAAUGGAAGCUUUGGAAGACUAUCUGCCCCCAAGCACCAGUGACGGGAUAUGAAGACAGGAAGAGAGGAUUAUGCUUUUGGCUUGCAUAUUACAGUGCCCAGCACAGCAGAUGUCUUCAGCUCACCAAAGAUUGCAGAAGUUCAGUUUGUUCCCAUAGAGUCAUCUUUGCCAACAUGGUACUCCAGGUAGAUGAAGAAUAGUAUUUAAGGAGCUUGAGAGCCAUUACUGAUCUUACAAUACAUGGACAAACCCAAAUCUACCCGUGCUGGAGCCCAGGCAUAUCUUAUGCAAAUACCUGCAGAUGAGGUUCAACCUGUGACUCCAAGGGAGAAAUCUGUGUGACUGGUCUCUUCAGUAGUUCAAGGUGCACCAGCUUUUCUGUCUUACACUCUUAGCUCUGCUUUGGUUGUUACAUCUGGGACCUUUUAAAAAGUCAUGUGACACAGUCCAGUAGUAAUUACUUUUCUUCAAAAAUCUCUUUUUUUUUCUUUUCUUCCAAAUUUACUAUUACCCCUUUCACCACUGCUUCUGUGUCUCUAUAUGACUUAUGCAACUGGGGUUUCAAGCAACAAUGACCUCUUAAAAAUAUUACGAUCUCAGUAACUGACAAUGAAAAGCACAAAUAUAUAUCUUAGAAAAGAAUGAAAAAGACACAGAGCCUGACUUUAACCAUUGCUAGGAAGCCUCAGAGUGCUAUGUGCAGAUGGGCGCUCUUGACUGGGUAUUCUGCCCAUGGAGGGCUUAAAAUUUUUGACACUAGGGAUUCUCCACAUAGAUCUACUUUGAAUGUGGAACUCAGAUGAAUUAUCUGAUGUUUUUUACUUCCUUACUUGGGAAGAGACUGAGGAAGGUCUGGGAAAGGCUCUUCUGCCUAAGACAGGCUAAUGGUAAGAACUUGUCAUCUUCUACUGAUGUCACAUUUAAAUAAUGAUCACUGGGGCAAAAAGAUGGAUCUGGCCUAGAGCAAACCCAUUUUUUCUAUCUAGUCCAGAAGGGGAGAAAAAUAACAGCGAUAUGUCUGAUGAAGAUGAUCAGAAGGUCACACAAUUAAAGGAUAUACAGGAUAUAGAAGAAAGGGUUUCUCAGGAGAUGAUGUGGAAACACAGGUGAAAGACUGACCAAACACAUGCCAUCUGCCCACAAGCAAAGAAAGUCUAAAAGAUGUCAUGAGCAGGAGCAGAGAGAAAGACCAAAAGGAUCUGUCUUGUAGCCCAACAGAAAAAGAAAAUCACUUCAAACCAAUGGACAAGUUGAGAAGAAAAGAAACCAGAAGAGGAGAGAGAGAGAGAUCACAAGGAUUUGUUUUCUUUAGAUAGGUACAUUUCUGUGUCACUAAAGACACGAUAGUGUGAUUCUAAAACUCCUGACUAGUUUCAUCUUAGGUGGCUAUCUAAGUGGCACGAAUUCCUUUCCAGAGGUGUUUGCUUCUCACAGUGGACUGUAUGUGGAUUCUAGGUAUACUUAGACAAUUAAAGCUUGACAGAAGGAACAUCUUCAAUACUCUUAAUUUUUCCUUCUGACUAACAAGCCCGUGGCUUUCCUGACUGGAAGUCUGAAUCUUGUCAGCAGUGUGUUUCUUAAUUACACCAGAGCUGUUAAGUUGUAGAGAUGCUUCUUGAAGAAUGGUCUGAAAACAAAAUGAAGAAUAAACUCAGAUACCUUGCUGAAGAGCCUACUUUUUAAUGGAAAAAUCCUAAAUGCCUUUAUGUGAGCUUCUAGCUGGUUAUGAAACGUGUGAUGAGGAUGAAAAACAAAUAGUAUGGAUUUAUAGGGUAAGAAGUUAAAUUGUCAUUGGCACUAGCAAUCAUUGGAUCCCAUGUGGCUUGAAGAUGUUCUGACGCAGUGCACUGAUGUCCACUUCAUUCAAAUAGGCAUCAGAAGAGCUGUUACAUCUUGUUUCCAGGAGCUGCGAUGCACCCCAAAGGGAGAACUCAGCUUAAGCCUGGGGUCAAUUCCGCAACCACUGGUAAUGCUAAGGAGAGGCUGGCAGGAGAUUAGACAGAAAUGUACAUUCAAUAAAAUCAAAAGGAUUUUGUCUCCCUAAAGCUUUGGAAGAAAUGAGUUUAUAGAUAACUAUUUGCCCUAUGGACAUCAUUCUUUAACUUUCACUGAGGCAGCACAUGCCAUUAUCCUAUAGAUGCCCAGUGAAGCAAACGAUAAGAAAUAGAUGAUUUUCCUGGCCAGAUCUGUAGCACAUUUAAUAUUUUUUUUUUUUUUUUAGGAUAGAAAUUCCAUGAAAACUGUAUCAACUUCAAGGUUAUUUUUAAUGGUGGCUUUAUGGUUUGCCAUCAACUAAUGCCAUUUCUUUGGGAGCCUCCAAAACCAUCGCAAACCACCACUUUCAGACAUUCAUUUAAUUGUCUGUCUAAGAGACUGUAACUUUGAAGACAAACUCCUACAGCUUCAAAUUUUCUUGAUCCUUCUUCGACUUAGCUUGACAUUUGGAUUUUUCUGCCUCACCCUUAUGCAACUGAAUUACAAGCAUUUUCUUUUAAAAUCAAUAUCUUUGAUAAUUUUCUACAUGGCUUAAAACUCAGAAAUAAAUUGAUUGUAUAGUCUUUUUAAAGCCAAGUUAAAGUUAAAGAUUAAAAGUUAGAGAAAGAUUCUGAGCAAGCAAUAGAGUAAUUCCUAAAACAUUUUUCAUUGCCUUGCCUUCUUCCCGUGCCUCUCCCUUUCCUAGAUGAGGUGUACUGAACCAGUUUCCCUAACAGAAAGAUACUACAAUAGUGACUAGAUAUUUUCAAUUAAUUUUUUUCUCACAGAUUUUUUUGGACUUCUAUUUGAAAGUUAUCUGCAAAAUUUUGGGUUAGAAAUGCUGAACAGACUUUCUGAAAAUCUCCCUUUAUCAUUACUAAGACAUUAUUAGUUAACCACCUUUUGAAAAGACAUUUCUUGCCCCAAAACUCUGAAACUUGGCAUUAGUUUCAGGAAUAGAUUUCAUGUUCCCUUGACUGUCUGAGUAUCAUCCUUUGAAGGAAGGACAGAAUAAAAG